UCGAGAAUAAUUCGCAAUGGGCGAAAGCCUGACGAUGCGACGCCGUGUGAGCGAUGAAGGCCUUCGGGUUGUAAAGCUCUGUCGCUUGGGAACAAGGGUUAUUUGUAAAUAGCAGAUAAUCUUGAGUGUACCAGGAAAGGAAGCACCGGCUAACUCCGUGCCAGCAGCUGCGGUAAUACGGAGGGUGCAAGCGUUAGUCGGAAUUACUGGGCGUAAAGGGCGCGUAGGCGGGGAUGUAAGUCAGACGUGAAAUUCCGAAGCUCAACUUCGGAGCGGCAUCUGAAACUGCAUUUCUAGAGGAAGAGCGGAGAAAACGGAAUUCCAUGUGUAGCGGUGAAAUGCGUAGAUAUGUGGAAGAACACCUGUGGCGAAAGCGGUUUUCUAGCUUACUCCUGACGCUGAGGCGCGAAAGCAAGGGGAGCAAACAGG
This 429-nucleotide ribosomal RNA is filed under the name uncultured bacterium. RNAcentral's name for it is "bacterial SSU rRNA". It matches the Rfam family "Bacterial small subunit ribosomal RNA", at positions 355 to 776 of the family's 1533-position model. The record is from RNAcentral.